UUGGUGGAUCAGUGGCGAACGGGUGAGUAACACGUGAGCAACCUGCCCUGGACUCUGGGAUAAGCGCUGGAAACGGCGUCUAAUACUGGAUAUGAGACGUGAUCGCAUGGUCGUGUUUGGAAAGAUUUUUCGGUCUGGGAUGGGCUCGCGGCCUAUCAGCUUGUUGGUGAGGUAAUGGCUCACCAAGGCGUCGACGGGUAGCCGGCCUGAGAGGGUGACCGGCCACACUGGGACUGAGACACGGCCCAGACUCCUACGGGAGGCAGCAGUGGGGAAUAUUGCACAAUGGGCGAAAGCCUGAUGCAGCAACGCCGCGUGAGGGAUGACGGCCUUCGGGUUGUAAACCUCUUUUAGCAGGGAAGAAGCGAAAGUGACGGUACCUGCAGAAAAAGCGCCGGCUAACUACGUGCCAGCAGCCGCGGUAAUACGUAGGGCGCAAGCGUUAUCCGGAAUUAUUGGGCGUAAAGAGCUCGUAGGCGGUUUGUCGCGUCUGCUGUGAAAUCCCGAGGCUCAACCUCGGGCCUGCAGUGGGUACGGGCAGACUAGAGUGCGGUAGGGGAGAUUGGAAUUCCUGGUGUAGCGGUGGAAUGCGCAGAUAUCAGGAGGAACACCGAUGGCGAAGGCAGAUCUCUGGGCCGUAACUGACGCUGAGGAGCGAAAGGGUGGGGAGCAAACAGGCUUAGAUACCCUGGUAGUCCACC
RNAcentral lists this ribosomal RNA (701 nucleotides) under Microbacterium sp. RNAcentral describes it as "bacterial SSU rRNA". It matches the Rfam family "Bacterial small subunit ribosomal RNA", at positions 84 to 799 of the family's 1533-position model. Lineage: Bacteria; Bacillati; Actinomycetota; Actinomycetes; Micrococcales; Microbacteriaceae. The record is from RNAcentral.